This 437-nucleotide ribosomal RNA is filed under the name uncultured bacterium. RNAcentral describes it as "bacterial SSU rRNA". It matches the Rfam family "Bacterial small subunit ribosomal RNA", at positions 338 to 767 of the family's 1533-position model. The record is from RNAcentral.
CCUACGGGGGGCAGCAGUAGGGAAUCUUCGGCAAUGGGCGAAAGCCUGACCGAGCAACGCCGCGUGAGCGAUGAAGGCCUUCGGGUCGUAAAGCUCUGUUGUUAAGGAAGAACAAGUACGAGAGUAACUGCUCGUACCUUGACGGUACUUAACGAGAAAGCCACGGCUAACUACGUGCCAGCAGCCGCGGUAAUACGUAGGUGGCGAGCGUUAUCCGGAAUUAUUGGGCGUAAAGCGCGCGCAGGCGGUUUCUUAAGUCUGAUGUGAAAGCCCACGGCUCAACCGUGGAGGGUCAUUGGAAACUGGGAAACUUGAGUGCAGAAGAGGAAAGCGGAAUUCCACGUGUAGCGGUGAAAUGCGUAGAGAUGUGGAGGAACACCAGUGGCGAAGGCGGCUUUCUGGUCUGUAACUGACGCUGAGGCGCGAAAGCGUGGGGA